Molecule: ribosomal RNA, 754 nt
Filed under: Bacillus sp. GP0509
Lineage: Bacteria; Bacillati; Bacillota; Bacilli; Caryophanales; Bacillaceae
Description: bacterial SSU rRNA
Rfam family: Bacterial small subunit ribosomal RNA
Source: RNAcentral
CUCCCGGAUGUUAGCGGCGGACGGGUGAGUAACACGUGGGUAACCUGCCUGUAAGACUGGGAUAACUCCGGGAAACCGGAGCUAAUACCGGAUAGUUCCUUGAACCGCAUGGUUCAAGGAUGAAAGACGGUUUCGGCUGUCACUUACAGAUGGACCCGCGGCGCAUUAGCUAGUUGGUGGGGUAAUGGCUCACCAAGGCAACGAUGCGUAGCCGACCUGAGAGGGUGAUCGGCCACACUGGGACUGAGACACGGCCCAGACUCCUACGGGAGGCAGCAGUAGGGAAUCUUCCGCAAUGGACGAAAGUCUGACGGAGCAACGCCGCGUGAGUGAUGAAGGUUUUCGGAUCGUAAAGCUCUGUUGUUAGGGAAGAACAAGUGCGAGAGUAACUGCUCGCACCUUGACGGUACCUAACCAGAAAGCCACGGCUAACUACGUGCCAGCAGCCGCGGUAAUACGUAGGUGGCAAGCGUUGUCCGGAAUUAUUGGGCGUAAAGGGCUCGCAGGCGGUUUCUUAAGUCUGAUGUGAAAGCCCCCGGCUCAACCGGGGAGGGUCAUUGGAAACUGGGAAACUUGAGUGCAGAAGAGGAGAGUGGAAUUCCACGUGUAGCGGUGAAAUGCGUAGAGAUGUGGAGGAACACCAGUGGCGAAGGCGACUCUCUGGUCUGUAACUGACGCUGAGGAGCGAAAGCGUGGGGAGCGAACAGGAUUAGAUACCCUGGUAGUCCACGCCGUAAACGAUGAGUGCUAAGUG